Leptonychotes weddellii (Weddell seal) is the source of this 595-nucleotide long non-coding RNA. RefSeq lists it as uncharacterized. Lineage: Eukaryota; Metazoa; Chordata; Mammalia; Carnivora; Phocidae. The record is from RefSeq and is a predicted model, not a curated record.
CAAUUGCGUUAGUGUAGCCAGAGAUGGGGACAUCAAGAAGCAGAUGCCGCCAUGCUGGAUUAGGGCAGAUGCGGCCGGAAUUGGAACCCCUUACCCUCCAGGAUCUUGCAGUCUAGUGCUGAAGAAGGAAUAUAAGCCAACGUUUAGAAUAUGAAGCCUAUAAAUGAUAGCAUUGAGGAAGGAAGUUCAGGCUGUCCUGCUGUAGGAAGGUCAUCGUGUGGGGAAGCACUGGAAGAUGAGACAUCACAUGUAGAGAGAGGCUAUGUGGGUGAGAACUGAGCCAGCAAGCAGUCAGCAUGAGGCCACAGAUGUGUGAGGGAGCCAUUCUCGGCUCUUUUCAUCCCAGCCAUCAACCUUUUUGAACGCAAUCUCAUGAACUGCAGUGGAGCUAAUAACGCCACAAAGCCAGAAAACUGCCUACUCCUGAUAAGGGAAAUCUGUGUCCUAAGAUGGCCGACCGACCCAGCAAGGGAGUCCCAGCCCUUGCCCCGGGCCUCUUCUGGGUUCUUCUCCCUGCCCAGCUUCCCGCACGUGCCAAGAGUGCCUAGUAUGCGGAAGUAGAAGUGUAUAAAUUACCCGCUUUGUGCUCACGGCU